RNAcentral lists this ribosomal RNA (486 nucleotides) under uncultured bacterium. RNAcentral's name for it is "partial 16S ribosomal RNA". It matches the Rfam family "Bacterial small subunit ribosomal RNA", at positions 30 to 507 of the family's 1533-position model. The record is from RNAcentral.
AUUGAACGCUGGCGGCAUGCCUUACACAUGCAAGUCGAACGGCAGCACGGGUGCUUGCACCUGGUGGCGAGUGGCGAACGGGCGAGUAAUACAUCGGAACAUGUCCUGUAGUGGGGGAUAGCCCGGCGAAAGCCGGAUUAAUACCGCAUACGAUCCACGGAUGAAAGCGGGGGACCUUCGGGCCUCGCGCUAUAGGGUUGGCCGAUGGCUGAUUAGCUAGUUGGUGGGGUAAAGGCCUACCAAGGCGACGAUCAGUAGCCGGUCUGAGAGGACGACCAGCCACACUGGGACUGAGACACGGCCCAGACUCCUACGGGAGGCAGCAGUGGGGAAUUUUGGACAAUGGGCGAAAGCCUGAUCCAGCAAUGCCGCGUGUGUGAAGAAGGCCUUCGGGUUGUAAAGCACUUUUGUCCGGAAAGAAAUCCUUGACUCUAAUACAGUCGGGGGAUGACGGUACCGGAAGAAUAAGCACCGGCUAACUACGUG